AUGAAGGGUUUGAUCCUGGCUCAGAAUGAACGUUAGCGGCGUGGAUUAGGCAUGCAAGUCGAGCGAGAAGUCUUUCAUUGAUCCCUUCGGGGUGAAGUGACUGACGGACAGCGGCAGACGGCGUAGUAAGGCGUAGGUUACGUACCCUUGAGUCCGGGACAGCUACGGGAAACUGUAGGUAAUACCGGAUGCCCUCCCAGGACAUGAUCGUCCCGGGAGGAAAGGCGCAAAUUCUGCUCUUGGAGCGGCCUACGUGGUAUUAGCUAGUUGGUGAGGUAAUGGCUCACCAAGGCUACGAUGCCUAGGGGGUGUGAGAGCAUGGCCCCCACGACUGGGACUGAGACACUGCCCAGACACCUACGGGUGGCUGCAGUCGAGAAUAUUCCGCAAUGGGCGAAAGCCUGACGGAGCGACGCCGCGUGUGGGAUGAAGGCCCUUGGGUUGUAAACCACUGUCAGAGGGGAUGAA
Molecule: ribosomal RNA, 468 nt
Filed under: Planctomycetaceae bacterium
Lineage: Bacteria; Pseudomonadati; Planctomycetota; Planctomycetia; Planctomycetales; Planctomycetaceae
Description: bacterial SSU rRNA
Rfam family: Bacterial small subunit ribosomal RNA
Source: RNAcentral